RNAcentral lists this small RNA (69 nucleotides) under Acididesulfobacillus acetoxydans. Its description in RNAcentral is "Peptococcaceae bacterium INE non-coding RNA". The record is from RNAcentral. Lineage: Bacteria; Bacillati; Bacillota; Clostridia; Eubacteriales; Peptococcaceae.
GUUUCAAUUCCUCAUAGGCAGGCUAUCGGCGAUACGCGGGGAUGGGUAAGAUACACGGGGGUGAGAAUG